This 225-nucleotide unclassified non-coding RNA is filed under the name Hevea brasiliensis (rubber tree). The record is from RNAcentral. Lineage: Eukaryota; Viridiplantae; Streptophyta; Magnoliopsida; Malpighiales; Euphorbiaceae.
GAAGAAGAUGGUUUGACCAAGUUAUAUGAUUCAGAGGACACCAUGCAAUUUAAGAUUCAUUUCACAACUAAUGUUUAUUCCUAGUACAUAGUGCACAAAUGGUAUGUGAAUUAUAUGCCGUUGCAUGUAUCAACCAUGUGCUUUUCUAACUCACAAGCAUUGAUGAAAAAAAUAUUAACUUCUAACAGAAACACAAACAAAAACAAUAAACUCACCCGGCGAUCA